CAAUAGCGUAUAUUAAAGUUGUUGCAGUUAAAAAGCUCGUAGUUGGACCUUGGACCUGGACAGGCGGUCCGCCUCACGGCGUGUACUGUCUUGCUGGGUCUUUCCUCUUGGUGAUCUGUUGUUUCAGCAGCAGGGAACCAGGACUUUUACUUUGAAAAAAUUAGAGUGUUCAAAGCAGGCUCGACGCCGGAAUAUAUUAGCAUGGAAUAAUAAAAUAGGACGUGCGGUUCUAUUUUGUUGGUUUUUGGAAUCGCCGUAAUGAUUAAUAGGGACAGUCGGGGGCAUUAGUACUCACAUGCUAGAGGUGAAAUUCUUGGAUUUUGUGAAGACUAACUUCUGCGAAAGCAUUUGCCAAGGAUGUUUUCAUUAA
Molecule: ribosomal RNA, 370 nt
Filed under: uncultured eukaryote
Lineage: Eukaryota
Description: partial 18S ribosomal RNA
Rfam family: Eukaryotic small subunit ribosomal RNA
Source: RNAcentral